This 506-nucleotide ribosomal RNA is filed under the name uncultured bacterium. RNAcentral describes it as "partial 16S ribosomal RNA". It matches the Rfam family "Bacterial small subunit ribosomal RNA", at positions 30 to 523 of the family's 1533-position model. The record is from RNAcentral.
AUUGAACGCUGGCGGCAGGCCUAACACAUGCAAGUCGAACGGUAACAGGAAACAGCUUGCUGUUUCGCUGACGAGUGGCGGACGGGUGAGUAAUGUCUGGGAAACUGCCUGAUGGAGGGGGAUAACUACUGGAAACGGUAGCUAAUACCGCAUAACGUCGCAAGACCAAAGAGGGGGACGUUCGGGCCUCUUGCCAUCGGAUGUGCCCAGAUGGGAUUAGCUAGUAGGUGGGGUAACGGCUUACCUAGGCGACGAUCCCUAGCUGGUCUGAGAGGAUGACCAGCCACACUGGAACUGAGACACGGUCCAGACUCCUACGGGGGGCAGCAGUGGGGAAUAUUGCACAAUGGGCGCAAGCCUGAUGCGGCCAUGUCGCGUGUAUGAAGAAGGCCUUCGGGUUGUAAAGUACUGUCAGCGGGGAGGAAGGGAGUAAAGUUAAUACCUUUGCUCAUUGACGUUACCCGCAGAAGAAGCACCGGCUAACUCCGUGCCAGCCGCCGCGGUAA